AUCCAGGAUGAGCAGGCGCUGGGUAGGUCAUGGUGGGUGGGUAGGUCACAGUGGGUAGGUCAGUCACAGUGGGCAGGUCAUAGUGGGUAGGUGGAUCACAGUGGGUAAGUCAUGGUAGGUGGGUCACAGUGGGUAGGUAGGUCACAGUGGGUAGGUGGAUCACAGCGGGUAGGCAGGCCAUAGUGGGUAGGUGGGUCACAGUGGGU
Non-coding RNA from Pelobates cultripes (western spadefoot toad), 206 nucleotides. The record is from the annotation of a GenBank genome assembly. Lineage: Eukaryota; Metazoa; Chordata; Amphibia; Anura; Pelobatidae.